This 466-nucleotide ribosomal RNA is filed under the name uncultured bacterium. RNAcentral's name for it is "partial 16S ribosomal RNA". It matches the Rfam family "Bacterial small subunit ribosomal RNA", at positions 28 to 507 of the family's 1533-position model. The record is from RNAcentral.
GACGAACGCUGGCGGCGUGCUUAACACAUGCAAGUCGAACGAUGAAGCCCAGCUUGCGGGGUGGAUUCGUGUGGAACGGGUGAGUAACACGUGAGUGACCUGCCCUUAACUCUUGGGUAUGCCUGGGAAACAGUGGCUAAUAUCGGAUAUGAGCGCCUACCGCGCGUGGGGGGUUGGGAAGAUUUAUCGGUUUUGGAUGGACUCGCGGCCUAUCAGCUUGUUGGUGGGGUAAUGGCUCACCAAGGCGCUGACGGGUAGCCGGCCUGAGAGGGUGACCGGCCACACUGGGACUGAGAUACGGCCCAGACUCCUACGGGAGGCAGCAGUGGGGAAUAUUGCACAAUGGGCGGAAGCCUGAUGCAGCGACGCCGCGUGCGGGAUGACGGCCUUCGGGUUGUAAACCGCUUUCAGUAGGGACGAAGCGAAAGUGACGGUACUUGGUGAAGAAGCACCGGCUAACUACGUG